This 843-nucleotide long non-coding RNA is filed under the name Chinchilla lanigera (long-tailed chinchilla). RNAcentral describes it as "lncRNA (ENSCLAG00000023585.1)". Lineage: Eukaryota; Metazoa; Chordata; Mammalia; Rodentia; Chinchillidae. The record is from RNAcentral.
UGGUGGCUUGAUCCCACCUCCCGCCCCUGGGGGAGCAGUGCAGUGGCCCCUGUGAGGUCCUGGCAGAGGACUGUGUGUCUCCUCUGCCCACUGAGCACCGGCUGCUGUCACAUCCAGCAGGACCUGAGUCUCGUGCAGCCUCACCUUGAGGCCUCUGUCUUUUCCCGAAGUCCCAUAGAUUACAUCUCCUUAUCCGCUGUGAGGAUUUCUCCUUGUUCUGGUCUGGUUUCUAAAGAACAAUUCUCUGUGCUUAUGCAACUUCUGUUUCUGGGGGCAGAGCUUGCUGCAAAAGGCAAAGAACCCGGUCCAUUUACCCUGGGCCUGGACCAAGAAUUAACCUGGUGCAGUGUGCUGGUCCAUGAGCUUCCAGCUCAGCCCUCUGGAGACCUAGCUCCAGGGCUUGGCCUGUACCGCACUGCCCCCAGCAACUGAAUACGUGACUGAAUCAGUGAGCACGUGGAUACAUGACAGCCAGAUGGGUGAGUGGAUGAAAGGAGUGUUCAGCACUUUGCAGCAGAGAGGGCUCAGCAAACCAGAGCUCCUGCUUGCCCAAAGAGCACGCUGCCGUCCACGCACAGAGCUCUGGCCGGCUGGGUUCAUCGUCCUGGGGGUGAGCUCUCCCUCCAUUUAGGCUCUGUGCCCAGCCUGCCUGGAAAGAUUUUCCUCUGUUAUUUCCCUCUCUCUGUCCCCACCUUUGUCCCCAGGGUCCCUCCCUGCAGUGAGCUGUGAGAGCAGGAGCCCCUGUCAGCCAUGGUUCAUGUGGAUGCCUGGCUCUGGCUCCAGGUCUGGCUCCGGCUUCAGCCUGUGAUUUUUGUGGCAGUGCCUCUUCAGCAGCUUUAAGUG